AACGAACGCUGGCGGCAUGCCUAACACAUGCAAGUCGAACGAGACCUUCGGGUCUAGUGGCGCACGGGUGCGUAACGCGUGGGAACCUGCCUUUAGGUUCGGAAUAACUCAGAGACAUUUGAGCUAAUAUCGGAUGAUGUCCUCUGACCACAGAUUUAUCGUCUUUAGAUGGGCACGCGUUGUUUUAGCUAGUUGGUGGUGUAAGGGCCUCCCACGGCGACGAUCCAUAGCUGGUCUGAGAGGCUGAGCAGCGACACUGGGACUGAGACACGGCCCAGACUCCUACGGGAGGCAGGAAUGGGUAAUAUUGAACAAUCGGCUAAGUCCAGAACGACCUAGGCUGGUUGAGUGAUGAAGUCCUGAGAGUAGAAAAGCUCGUUUAUCCGACGUGAUAAUGACGGUACCGAAAGAAUAAGCACCGGCUAACUCCGUG
This 433-nucleotide ribosomal RNA is filed under the name uncultured bacterium. RNAcentral's name for it is "partial 16S ribosomal RNA". It matches the Rfam family "Bacterial small subunit ribosomal RNA", at positions 29 to 507 of the family's 1533-position model. The record is from RNAcentral.